AGUUCGAUCAUAGCUCAGAUUGAACGCUGGCGGGAUGCUUUACACAUGCAAGUCGGGCGGCAGCACGGACUUCGGUCUGGUGGCGAGUGGCGAACGGGUGAGUAAUGUAUCGGAACGUGCCUAGUAGCGAGGAUAACUACGCGAAAGCGUAGCUAAUACCACAUACGCCCUUCGGGGAAAGCGGGGACCUUCCGGGCCUCGCACUAUUAGAGCGGCCGAUAUCGGAUUAGCUAGUUGGUGGGAGUAACGGCUCACCAAAGGCGACGAUCCGUAGCUGGUUUGAGAGGACGACCAGCCACACUGGGACUGAGACACGGCCCAGACUCCUACGGGAGGCAGCAGUGGGGAAUUUUGGACAAUGGGGAAACCCUGAUCCAGCCAUCCCGCGUGUGCGAUGAAGGCCUUCAGGUUUGUAAAGCACUUUUGGCAGGAAAGAAACGGCACGGGAUAAUACCCCGUGCAACUGACGGUACCUGCAGAAUAAGCACCGGCUAACUACUGAUGCCAGCAGCCGCGGUAACCGUAAGGGUGCAAGCGUUAAUCGGAAUUACUGGGCGUAAAGCGUGCGCAGGCGGUUCGGAAAGAAAAUGUAAAAUCCAGAGCUUAACUUUGGAACUGCAUUUUUUAACUACCGAGCUAGAGUGUGUCAAGAGGAGGUGGAAUUCCGCCGAUAAUAGCAGUGAAAUGCGUAGAUAUGCGGAGGAACACCGAUGGCGAAGGCAGCCUCCUGGGAUAACACUGACGCUCAUGCACCGAAAGCGUGGGAGCAAACAGGAUUAGAUACCCUGGUAGUCCACGCCCUAAACGAUGUCAACUAGCUGUUGGGGCCUUCGGGCCUUGGUAGCGCAGCUAACGCGUGAAGUUGACCGCGGAAGUACGGUCGCAAGAUUAAAACUCAAAGGAAUUGACGGGGACCCGCACAAGCGGUGGAUGAUGUGGAUUAAUUCGAUGCAACGCGAAAAACCUUACCUACCCUUGACAUGUCUGGAAUCCCGAAGAGAUUUGGGAGUGCUCGCAAGAGAACCGGAACACAGGUGCUGCAUGGCUGUCGUCAGCUCGUGUCGUGAGAUGUUGGGUUAAGUCCCGCAACGAGGCGCAACCCUUGUCAUUAGUUGCUACGAAGGGCACUCUAAUGAGACUGCCGGUGACAAACCGGAGGAAGGUGGGGAUGACGUCGAGUCCUCAUGGCCCUUAUGGGUAGGGCUUCACACGUCAUACAAUGGUCGGGACAGAGGGUCGCCAACCCGCGAGGGGAGAGCCAAUCCCAGAAACCCGAUCGUAGUCGGAUCAUGAUCUGCAACUCGACUGCGUGAAGUCGGAAUCGCUGGUAAUCGCGGAUCAGCAUGUCGCGGUGAAUACGUUCCCGGGUCUUGUACACACCGCCCGUCACACCAUGGGAGUGGGUUUACCAGAAGUAGUUAGCCUAACCGUAAGGAGGGCGAUUACCACAUUAGGAUUCAUGACUGGGGUGAAGUCGUAACAAGGUAG
RNAcentral lists this ribosomal RNA (1488 nucleotides) under uncultured Bordetella sp. RNAcentral's name for it is "partial 16S-23S ribosomal RNA intergenic spacer". It matches the Rfam family "Bacterial small subunit ribosomal RNA". The record is from RNAcentral. Lineage: Bacteria; Pseudomonadati; Pseudomonadota; Betaproteobacteria; Burkholderiales; Alcaligenaceae.